This 83-nucleotide transfer RNA is filed under the name Penicillium subrubescens. RNAcentral's name for it is "tRNA-Gly". It matches the Rfam family "tRNA". Rfam says of the family: Transfer RNA (tRNA) molecules are approximately 80 nucleotides in length. Their secondary structure includes four short double-helical elements and three loops (D, anti-codon, and T loops). Lineage: Eukaryota; Fungi; Ascomycota; Eurotiomycetes; Eurotiales; Aspergillaceae. The record is from RNAcentral.
GCGCCGAUAGUCUAGUGGUUAUGAUCUGCCCUUCCCACCAUUUGAGACAGGGCAGGACCCGGGUUCGAACCCCGGUCGGCGCA